GAAAUGCGAUAAGUAAUGUGAAUUGCAGAAUUCAGUGAAUCAUCGAAUCUUUGAACGCACAUUGCGCCCCCUGGUAUUCCGGGGGGCAUGCCUGUUCGAGCGUCAUUUCACCACUCAAGCCUUGCUUGGUAUUGGGCGACGCGGUCCGCCGCGCGCCUCAAAUCGACCGGCUGGGUCUUUCGUCCCCUCAGCGUUGUGGAAACUAUUCGCUAAAGGGUGCCGCGGGAGGCCACGCCGUAAAACAACCCCAUAUCUAAGGUUGACCUCGGAUCAGGUAGGGAUACCCGCUGAACUUAAGC
RNAcentral lists this unclassified non-coding RNA (299 nucleotides) under plant metagenome. RNAcentral describes it as "partial contains 5.8S ribosomal RNA, internal transcribed spacer 2, and large subunit ribosomal RNA". The stretch from base 1 to 105 matches the Rfam family "5.8S ribosomal RNA", at positions 50 to 154 of the family's 154-position model. The record is from RNAcentral.